CCCUUAGAUGUCCUGGGCCGCACGCGCGCUACACUGAUGCAUUCAACGAGUUUUUCCUUGGCCGAGAGGCCUGGGCAAUCUUUUAAACGUGCAUCGUGAUAGGGAUAGAUUAUUGCAAUUAUUAAUCUUGAACGAGGAAUUCCUAGUAAACGCAGAUCAUCAAUCUGCAUUGAUUACGUCCCUGCCCUUUGUACACACCGCCCGUCGCACCUACCGAUUGAAUGGUCCGGUGAAGCCUCGGGAUUGUGGCGAGUUCCCUUUAUUGGGAGUUUGUCGCGAGAACUUGUCUAAACCUUAUCAUUUAGAGGAAGGUGAAGUCGUAACA
RNAcentral lists this ribosomal RNA (325 nucleotides) under uncultured eukaryote. Its description in RNAcentral is "partial 18S ribosomal RNA". It matches the Rfam family "Eukaryotic small subunit ribosomal RNA", at positions 1470 to 1796 of the family's 1831-position model. The record is from RNAcentral.